This 63-nucleotide transfer RNA is filed under the name Attagenus hottentotus. RNAcentral's name for it is "tRNA-Glu". Lineage: Eukaryota; Metazoa; Arthropoda; Insecta; Coleoptera; Dermestidae. The record is from RNAcentral.
AUCCUCAUAGUUUAAAUAAAACAUUGUAUUUUCAAUACAAAAAUGACCAAUAAUCUCUGGAUU